This 398-nucleotide ribosomal RNA is filed under the name uncultured eukaryote. Its description in RNAcentral is "bacterial SSU rRNA". It matches the Rfam family "Eukaryotic small subunit ribosomal RNA", at positions 592 to 997 of the family's 1831-position model. The record is from RNAcentral.
CAAUAGCGUAUAUUAAAGUUGUUGCAGUUAAAAGCUCGUAGUUGGAUUUGUGGCUGUCACAUGCGGCUCGGCAUUCGUGCCGGUGCUUGCUAGUGUCGCCAUCCUUGGGUGGAGCCUGUGUGGCAUUUAGUUGUCGUGCAGGGGAUGCCCAUCGUUUACUGUGAAAAAUUAGAGUGUUCAAAGCAGGCUUAUGCCGUUGAAUAUAUUAGCAUGGAAUAAUAAGAUAGGACCUUGGUACUAUUUUGUUGGUUUGCGCACCAAGGUAAUGAUUAAUAGGGACAGUUGGGGGUGCUAGUAUUCAGCGGCCAGAGGUGAAAUUCUUGGAUUCGCUGAAGACUAACUUAUGCGAAAGCAUUCACCAAGGAUGUCUUCUUUAAUCAAGAACGAAAGUUGGGGGA